This 95-nucleotide transfer RNA is filed under the name Hortaea werneckii. Its description in RNAcentral is "tRNA-Leu". It matches the Rfam family "tRNA". Rfam says of the family: Transfer RNA (tRNA) molecules are approximately 80 nucleotides in length. The record is from RNAcentral. Lineage: Eukaryota; Fungi; Ascomycota; Dothideomycetes; Mycosphaerellales; Teratosphaeriaceae.
GCUAUCGUGGCCGAGUGGUCUAAGGCGGUAGAUUUAAGUUUGUUCUUGAAACUCUACUGGGGCGACCCGCGUGCGUUCGAACCGCACCGAUAGCA